GACCUCGUAGCUCAGUUGGCAGAGCAUUGGACUAGUAUCCCAAAGGUCGCGGGUUCGAUUCCCAGCGUGGUCA
RNAcentral lists this transfer RNA (73 nucleotides) under Paramuricea clavata. It matches the Rfam family "tRNA". Rfam says of the family: Transfer RNA (tRNA) molecules are approximately 80 nucleotides in length. Their secondary structure includes four short double-helical elements and three loops (D, anti-codon, and T loops). Lineage: Eukaryota; Metazoa; Cnidaria; Anthozoa; Malacalcyonacea; Plexauridae. The record is from Rfam by way of RNAcentral.